This 375-nucleotide ribosomal RNA is filed under the name uncultured bacterium. Its description in RNAcentral is "bacterial SSU rRNA". It matches the Rfam family "Bacterial small subunit ribosomal RNA", at positions 521 to 896 of the family's 1533-position model. The record is from RNAcentral.
UAAUACGUAGGUGGCAAGCGUUGUCCGGAUUUACUGGGCGUAAAGAGCGCGCAGGCGGUCGGAUCAGUCGAAUGUGAAAGCCCCCGGCUCAACUGGGGAGGGUCAUUCGAUACUGUCCGACUCGAAGGCAGGAGAGGGAAGCGGAAUUCCCGGUGUAGUGGUGAAAUGCGUAGAUAUCGGGAGGAACACCAGUGGCGAAGGCGGCUUUCUGGCCUGUUCUUGACGCUGAGGCGCGAAAGCUAGGGGAGCGAACGGGAUUAGAUACCCUGGUAGUCCACGCCGUAAACGAUGAAUGCCAGCCGUUAGUGGGUUUACUCACUAGUGGCGCAGCUAACGCUUUAAGCAUUCCGCCUGGGGAGUACGGUCGCAAGAUUA